Molecule: unclassified non-coding RNA, 378 nt
Filed under: plant metagenome
Description: partial contains 5.8S ribosomal RNA, internal transcribed spacer 2, and large subunit ribosomal RNA
Rfam family: 5.8S ribosomal RNA (bases 1-105)
Source: RNAcentral
GAAAUGCGAUAAGUAAUGUGAAUUGUAGAAUUCAGUGAAUCAUCGAAUCUUUGAACGCACCUUGCGCUCCUUGGUAUUCCUUGGAGCAUGCCUGUUUGAGUAUCAUGAAAUCUUCAAAGUAAAUCUUUUGUUAACUCAAUUGGUUUCUACUUUGGUAUUUGAGGUCUUUGCAGCUUCACACCUGCUCCUCUUUGUUCAUUAGCUGGAUCUCAUUGUUAUGCUUGGUUCCACUCGGCGUGAUAAGUUAUCUAUCGCUGAGGACACUGUAAAAGGUGGCCAAGGUAAAUGCAGAUGAACCGCUUCUAAUAGUCCAUUGACUUGGACAAUACUUUUAUGAUCUGAUCUCAAAUCAGGUAGGACUACCCGCUGAACUUAAGC